Molecule: ribosomal RNA, 465 nt
Filed under: Vreelandella stevensii
Lineage: Bacteria; Pseudomonadati; Pseudomonadota; Gammaproteobacteria; Oceanospirillales; Halomonadaceae
Description: partial 16S ribosomal RNA
Rfam family: Bacterial small subunit ribosomal RNA
Source: RNAcentral
CCUACGGGUGGCAGCAGUGGGGAAUAUUGGACAAUGGGCGAAAGCCUGAUCCAGCCAUGCCGCGUGUGUGAAGAAGGCCUUCGGGUUGUAAAGCACUUUCAGUGGGGAAGAAAGCCUUGGGGCUAAUACCCUCGAGGAAGGACAUCACCCACAGAAGAAGCACCGGCUAACUCCGUGCCAGCAGCCGCGGUAAUACGGAGGGUGCGAGCGUUAAUCGGAAUUACUGGGCGUAAAGCGCGCGUAGGCGGUCUGAUAAGCCGGUUGUGAAAGCCCCGGGCUCAACCUGGGAACGGCAUCCGGAACUGUCAGGCUAGAGUGCAGGAGAGGAAGGUAGAAUUCCCGGUGUAGCGGUGAAAUGCGUAGAGAUCGGGAGGAAUACCAGUGGCGAAGGCAGCCUUCUGGACUGACACUGACGCUGAGGUGCGAAAGCGUGGGUAGCAAACAGGAUUAGAUACCCGUGUAGUC